Rhipicephalus microplus (southern cattle tick) is the source of this 509-nucleotide long non-coding RNA. RefSeq lists it as uncharacterized. Lineage: Eukaryota; Metazoa; Arthropoda; Arachnida; Ixodida; Ixodidae. The record is from RefSeq and is a predicted model, not a curated record.
CGGAACGUACUCUUCGUAGUUCUACUUACCACAAAUUAUAAUUUUCAAUACAGUUUUACAAUAUUCAUAAAGGAAAAUGAAUUGAAACAGUUCUUGAACACAAAUGAACCCAUAUGGACAUACAACCCAACCAUCAAAUCGCACAACCAUUGGUGUGUGGUAGAUACGACAAAAGUGUUACAGGGAGAAAAUAUUAAGUACCAACAUAUGUACUACGUCAAGUUCCCUCUAAAGGAUAAGGUUUCCGUUGAAAUGGAAGGUUCCUUUCAAUACAAAAAUAACUUGGUUACCAGCAAAUGUGGUUCGAAAGCGUUCUUUAAACACCAUCUUGUAUAUCUUGAUUCGGACUACGUGUGUGCAAUCAUCCGGGUUUCACCGAUGUUUACCAGUAAACUGAAGCCUUGGUACGAGCUGCGAGUACGGAACCCGUUCCUUAUAAGAUAUCGCCGUCCUUCGAUCACUUGCCAACACUAUUUCAACCUCGAAGCAAAGCAAGGACGUCUUAUUUA